Pseudomyrmex gracilis is the source of this 428-nucleotide long non-coding RNA. RefSeq lists it as uncharacterized. NCBI's taxonomy places the organism in Eukaryota, Metazoa, Arthropoda, Insecta, Hymenoptera, Formicidae. The transcript is spliced from 3 exons. The record is from RefSeq and is a predicted model, not a curated record.
UGUUGUUGCAUCAGCCGUGUCGGUUGGAUGUGCGUGGUUACGCUGUGGAUAUUUUUGGACAUUUUCGGUGUUUUACACCGUUCUCUAAGUUGUUAGAGGAAAAAUAGAAGAGAUCAGAGAAAUAAGAGUAAAAGGAGAAGAAGUGAAUGUGCCCGCAAAAAUCGGCUAACGGUUAUGGGCACGUUAAAAUAAUGACAUAAAAAAAAAAAAAAAAACAGCAGCUGUCAAGUGUUUUUCUCGCAAUGUUCUCUCCCAUUACGUCAAAAUCCACAUAAAAGUUCUCCAUGCAGCUUGCAUCAAGGUAGAUGUAAACAUCGUGUAAAUCUAGAAAACAUUACAGUACGGCGCGUUGUGGCAUACUUUCCAUAUGCUCAAAAGUUCAUCAAACCACAAAUGAUGCCCGACAGAAUGAUGCUGGGGACGUAAUU